This 699-nucleotide ribosomal RNA is filed under the name Triticum aestivum (bread wheat). RNAcentral's name for it is "partial small subunit ribosomal RNA". The record is from RNAcentral. Lineage: Eukaryota; Viridiplantae; Streptophyta; Magnoliopsida; Poales; Poaceae.
AUGUUACUAUUUGAAGCGACGAGCCACCAAGCGAGCAUUGUGAAAGGUUUGUUGAGCACAUAUUCCAGAGCGACGGGUCAACUUAUCAACCCCGAAAAGUGUUCCAUCCUUUUUUCAGACAAUUGCAUUGAGUCGGUGGUAGCGGAGAUGAAGAAUAUUUUGGAGGUUACAGAGCAAGUAUUUGAGCCUAAGUACCUAGGAUUACCUGUAAUGGAAGGAAGGGUACAUAAAUGCCAAUUUGAGACCGUGCAAGACAGGCUUAGGAAAAGGUUUGUCGAUUGGAGUGAACAAUAUGUGUCAUCGGGCAACAAGGAAAUUUUAAUAAAGGCGGUGGCGCAAGCAAGACCUACUUUUGUGAUGAGUGUCUUUCUCCUGCCGGCGUCCGUGUGUGAUGAUUUAACAUGGAUGAUGAGACAGUAUUGGUGGGGAGUGGAGAAUGGUAAGAGAAAGAUGGCUUGGCUCAGUUGGGAGAAGAUGACUCUACCCAAGGAUAUGGGGGGUAUGGGGUUUAGAGAUAUGCGGGCAUUCAACCAGGCGUUGCUUGCGAAGCAGGCCUGGAGGUUACUAGACAGCCCAGAUAGUCUUUGUGCUCGCCUUCUACGGGCUAAAUAUUACCCGAACGGUAAUCUUUUGGACACGGUAUUCCUGUCUAGCUCUUCUGCAGUCUGGAAAGGAAUUGCUCAUGGCCUUGAUUUUGUU